AGUGAACGCUGACGGCGUGCUUAACACAUGCAAGUCGAACGAGAACGGAUUAUAGCUUGCUAUAAUUGUCAGCUAAGUGGCGCACGGGUGAGUAAUGUAUAGAUAACCUGCCCUCUAGAAAGGAAUAACAGAUGGAAACGUCUGCUAAUGCCCUAUAUGCCUUUAAUACAUAAGUAUGCAAGGGAAACGCUUUAGUGCUAGAGGAUGGGUCUGUAUGGUAUCAGUUUGUUGGUGAGGUAAUGGCUCACCGAGACUAUGACGCCUAACUGGUUUGAGAGGAUGAUCAGUCACACUGGAACUGAGACACGGUCCAGACUCCUACGGGAGGCAGUAGUGGGGAAUAUUGCACAAUGGACGAAAGUCUGAUGCAGCAACGCCGCGUGGAGGAUGACACAUUUCGGUGCGUAAACUCCUUUUAUAUAGGAAGAUAAUGACGGUACCCAAAGAAUAAGCACCGGCUAACUUCGUGCCAGCCGCCGCCGUAA
RNAcentral lists this ribosomal RNA (485 nucleotides) under uncultured bacterium. RNAcentral describes it as "partial 16S ribosomal RNA". It matches the Rfam family "Bacterial small subunit ribosomal RNA", at positions 29 to 523 of the family's 1533-position model. The record is from RNAcentral.